RNAcentral lists this ribosomal RNA (396 nucleotides) under uncultured bacterium. RNAcentral describes it as "bacterial SSU rRNA". It matches the Rfam family "Bacterial small subunit ribosomal RNA", at positions 30 to 426 of the family's 1533-position model. The record is from RNAcentral.
AUUGAACGCUGGCGGCAUGCCUUACACAUGCAAGUCGAACGGCAGCGCGGGGCAACCUGGCGGCGAGUGGCGAACGGGUGAGUAAUAUAUCGGAACAUACCCUAGAGUGGGGGGAUAACGUAGCGAAAGUUACGCUAAUACCGCAUACGCACUAAGGUGGAAAGUGGGGGAUCUUCGGACCUCAUGCUCAUGGAGUGGCCGAUAUCUGAUUAGCUAGUUGGUGAGGUAAAGGCUCACCAAGGCGACGAUCAGUAGCUGGUUUGAGAGAACGACCAGCCACACUGGAACUGAGACACGGUCCAGACUCCUACGGGAGGCAGCAGUGGGGAAUUUUGGGACAAUGGGGGCAACCCUGAUCCAGCAAUGCCGCGUGAGUGAAGAAGGCCUUCGGGUUGU